AUUGAACGCUGGCGGCACGCCUAACACAUGCAAGUCGAGCGGUAGCAUGAACUGUAGCAAUACAGUUUGAUGACGAGCGGCGGACGGGUGAGGAACACGUAGGAACCUGCCCAAGAGUGGGGGAUAACUAAGGGAAACUUUAGCUAAUACCGCAUAAUCUCUGAGGAGAAAAGCUACCCGUAAGGGCGGCGCUUUUGGAGGGGCCUGCGUCCGAUUAGUUAGUUGGUGAGGUAAUGGCUCACCAAGACGAUGAUCGGUAACUGGUCUGAGAGGACGACCAGGCACACUGGGACUGAGACACGGCCCAGACUCCACGGGAGGCAGCAGUGGGGAAUCUUGGACAAUGGGGGCAACCCUGAUCCAGCGAUGCCGCGUGGGUGAAGAAGGCCUUCGGGUUGUAAAGCCCUUUAGGCUGGGAAGAAGAGUAUGAGGUGCAUAGCCUCGUACUUUGACGGUACCAGCAGAAUAAGCACCGGCAAACUCUGUGCCAGCCGCCGCGGUAA
Molecule: ribosomal RNA, 503 nt
Filed under: uncultured bacterium
Lineage: Bacteria
Description: partial 16S ribosomal RNA
Rfam family: Bacterial small subunit ribosomal RNA
Source: RNAcentral